AAGAUUUUAAUAGAUGUGCAAUAUGUGUGUGUUCCCUCCGACUCUGAAAGUUUGCCGAAAGUUUGAGAUGAUCAUGAUUCCAAAAACAAUGCGAGAAAACUUCAGAUCAGGUGUCAGAUCUACGAUGGAAAUGUGACACAUUAGCUGAGUUAUCACCAUGCCUGAAACAAUUUCUGAAAGGAUUGGAAGGUGACUGACACUGUGCAU
Saccostrea echinata is the source of this 207-nucleotide long non-coding RNA. RefSeq lists it as uncharacterized. NCBI's taxonomy places the organism in Eukaryota, Metazoa, Mollusca, Bivalvia, Ostreida, Ostreidae. The transcript is spliced from 3 exons. The record is from RefSeq and is a predicted model, not a curated record.